AGAAAAGUUCAGCUCCGCGUGUUUUAUUACAUUUUGAUUUUUGCCACCACCAUUUGAUUAUUAUUUUCUCAGGAUUUUUGCAUGCAAGUCGGGCGACUUUAUAUGCUUUAUAGCAGCUAUAGCAACGAUCUGCAAAAAUGUGCAUACUUCGUGUCCCGAUGCCCUUGGAGGAGAAAAGGUCCUCGGGGCUGGAAGGUCGGAUCCAACGUUUGGAAGACGAAGUUCCCGGGAUGGGCAGUGAA
Non-coding RNA from Drosophila suzukii, 242 nucleotides. NCBI's taxonomy places the organism in Eukaryota, Metazoa, Arthropoda, Insecta, Diptera, Drosophilidae. The record is from RefSeq and is a predicted model, not a curated record.